GAUGAACGCUGGCGGCGUGCCUAAUACAUGCAAGUCGAGCGAACAGACGAGGAGCUUGCUCCUUUGACGUUAGCGGCGGACGGGUGAGUAACACGUGGGUAACCUACCUAUAAGACUGGGAUAACUUCGGGAAACCGGAGCUAAUACCGGAUAAUAUUUCGAACCGCAUGGUUCGAUAGUGAAAGAUGGCUUUGCUAUCACUUAUAGAUGGACCUGCGCCGUAUUAGCUAGUUGGUAAGGUAACGGCUUACCAAGGCAACGAUACGUAGCCGACCUGAGAGGGUGAUCGGCCACACUGGAACUGAGACACGGUCCAGACUCCUACGGGAGGCAGCAGUAGGGAAGCUUCCGCAAUGGGCGAAAGCCUGACGGAGCAACGCCGCGUGAGUGAUGAAGGUCUGCGGAUCGUAAAACUCUGUUAUUAGGGAAGAACAAAAGUGUAAGUAACUGUGCACGUCUUGACGGUACCUAAUCAGAAAGCCACGGCUAACUACGU
RNAcentral lists this ribosomal RNA (496 nucleotides) under uncultured bacterium. RNAcentral's name for it is "partial 16S ribosomal RNA". It matches the Rfam family "Bacterial small subunit ribosomal RNA", at positions 28 to 506 of the family's 1533-position model. The record is from RNAcentral.